Molecule: ribosomal RNA, 252 nt
Filed under: uncultured bacterium
Lineage: Bacteria
Description: partial 16S ribosomal RNA
Rfam family: Bacterial small subunit ribosomal RNA
Source: RNAcentral
UACGUAGGGUGCAAGCGUUGUCCGGAAUUAUUGGGCGUAAAGAGCUCGUAGGCGGUUUGUCGCGUCUGCUGUGAAAGAUCGGGGCUCAACCCCGGAACUGCAGUGGGUACGGGCAGACUAGAGUGCGGUAGAGGAGACUGGAAUUCCUGGUGUAGCGGUGGAAUGCGCAGAUAUCAGGAGGAACACCAGUGGCGAAGGCGGGUCUCUGGGCCGCAACUGACGCUGAGUCAUGAUGAAUAACGCUUGCCCCUC